CUCUCGGAACGUGUCGGACGUGUUUUCUCUUCGACCAAUCUUUGAAUUAUUUGCCGUUCAAUGCGUUACAGUGUGCCUCGGCGGCAGACCUUGAGCUUGGCCGGUGAGUUGCAGAGGCUGGAAAACACAAGAACAAACAAUACAAAGAAAUCGGAAGCGGUUCAUCAAACAAGAAGGAACCUGCGGCUACAGUUGCGUUGCUAUGUGGUUCUAACGUUAAGCUUCAAAAUGUUGAAUUGCAGGAUGCCCACCUUUGCUGUUCUGUGACAUUUAACCUUCAAUAAGUCAAGUGGCUCUUUCACGCUGCGCAGUAUGAUGUAGCUUCAGAUUCUGACAAUUUUGGAACUUUGCAUACGAAAAUAAAGUACAUUACAGUGUACACCCUGC
Long non-coding RNA from Ornithodoros turicata, 387 nucleotides. RefSeq lists it as uncharacterized. The transcript has 2 exons. Lineage: Eukaryota; Metazoa; Arthropoda; Arachnida; Ixodida; Argasidae. The record is from RefSeq and is a predicted model, not a curated record.